UGUUAAAAGUUUUAUCCAUUUCUAUUGUUGAAAAUUGGCAUGGGUAACAAAAUAAUCAAAUAGUUACAUGUGGCGUGCCACGUGCACCUCAUUCUGACAUACAAGGACUAAUUUCUAAUAGUAGAAAUGGAUGGAUUUUUUAACA
Molecule: non-coding RNA, 145 nt
Organism: Gossypium raimondii (Peruvian cotton)
Lineage: Eukaryota; Viridiplantae; Streptophyta; Magnoliopsida; Malvales; Malvaceae
Source: Rfam